Molecule: ribosomal RNA, 392 nt
Filed under: Bebaeus punctipes
Lineage: Eukaryota; Metazoa; Arthropoda; Insecta; Hemiptera; Acanthosomatidae
Description: partial large subunit ribosomal RNA
Rfam family: Eukaryotic large subunit ribosomal RNA
Source: RNAcentral
UAAAACCUAAAGGCGCAAUGAAAGUGUCAGGAGGGCCUCCUCAGGGAGGUCCCCCCCGCUGGGAGGAUGGGCUACCGUACAACUGCUGUCGGAGCCCCGCACUCCCGGGGCGUCUCGUUCUCAUGACGAGUAGAGACGCACCAGGAGCGCGCACGCUGGUACCCGAAAGAUGGUGAACUAUGCCUGGCCAGGACGAAGCCAGGGGAAACCCUGGUGGAGGUCCGAAGCGAUUCUGACGUGCAAAUCGAUCGUAUGAGCUGGGUAUAGGGGCGAAAGACCAAUCGAACCAUCUAGUAGCUGGGUCCCUCUGAAGUUUCCCUCAGGAUAGCUGGCUCUCACGAUCAGACGAGUCUCAUCCGGUAGAGCGAAUGAUUAGAGGUGAUGGGGUCGAA